Long non-coding RNA from Capsicum annuum, 1388 nucleotides. RefSeq lists it as uncharacterized. Lineage: Eukaryota; Viridiplantae; Streptophyta; Magnoliopsida; Solanales; Solanaceae. The transcript is spliced from 2 exons. The record is from RefSeq and is a predicted model, not a curated record.
CGAAUGCUUAUCCAAGUGUAUAGACAACUUCAGCUUUGGGUGAUGCAUGCUGAAAUUGUGUUAGCUCCACCAAUUUUUUAAUUGUUGUAGAUUCUUUAUGCAAUCUCGAGGGCUUGAUGAGUAUUCUUUUCAGUAUGGGAUAGUUGGCUAGUAAAAUCUUGAUAAGUUGCAUCACAGGUUUUGAGCCUGUAGAAUUUGCUACGUUUAACUUUUCUGACGUGAUUAAAUGUGACAUCAAUAAAUUCUUGCACUUUAAGAUUAUCAUGGUAAUCUACCACCUCAGGAAUAUUAACAAAGACCCAUCUAGUCUGUAGACUUGGACGAGUAUAAAAAGACAGGAUUUUAAGUUUAUGAAUACUAAAUGACAAGCCUUUUUUGCUUAGUGGAUUCAAGAUACAUUAUUUAUACAUGUUAACUAAAUUUCUUAAUAUAACAAACUUUAAGCGGAAUCUAUUGAAUUUUGUUGAACCCAUAACUUCAAAUAUUGUAACUUCACCCCUGGUCUUGAAGCUUCCGACACGGAUAUGACCAAGUAGAAAAUUAGCAUACAGCUAUCCAUAACAUUAGGCAAAAUACAAUGUUAUACUACUGCAUCAAUAGUCGUAUUUCUAUUCGCUUCAAAAUCAAAAACAUUGUUUUACGGUAGGGUCAACUGGACAUUAAACUUGACAUGGAAAAAGCUUACGACAUGCAACUGGACUGUCUUAAUUGCUGUUAUGAGAAGGUUUGGGUUUGCAGAAAAAAGGAUAGAGAUCUUCUUUGGAGAUCUAUCUCAAAGUUUGGUACUCAUUGUCGAUAAAUGGUGUCAAGAGAUGUUUUUUUUUUCAUUUUCUACUAGAGUAGUUAAACAAGGGGUUGUGGUACUAUUAUCAAAACUGUGCAACCAGCUAUCAUUUAUUAAUCAAUAUAAAGGGUCCGUCCUCCGGUGAUGGUCUUGAUAUUGGUAAUGAUGUUGAGUUGGGUAAUCCGUUCAUUCUACGAUGUGGUCCAUGAUUCAGUUGAGCUAGAGUUGGUGAAAAUAGGUGGAUUGACCGGAUUCAGGCUAGGGUUGUAAUUCUCUGAGUUGCUCUAGUUUUGGCUAUCAAUAGUACUGUUUGCUGCCUUGAUGAGUUCUUGGUUAUGUCUUGAUGCAUUAUGCCCUUUGGCAGAUGAUGUGAUGCUCUUCUCUUCUGCCAACGAAAAAUCUCUAGAAGCUAUUACAGGGUCCUUGUUCCAAUAUUGUAUUUGAGGUUGCUAUAAAGAAUUCAAAUUUUGAUACUAUGAGGAGAUUGUUGGAUGAUUGUAUUAUUGUGUAUGUUUGAUAAUAAGCGAAGAUGUCCCCCGUCUGCGCUUGAGCAUUUCCACCUGGAUAACGAUACUAGCUGAAUUUGAUGGAGUUGAAUUAAAAA